This 699-nucleotide ribosomal RNA is filed under the name uncultured Bacillus sp. Its description in RNAcentral is "bacterial SSU rRNA". It matches the Rfam family "Bacterial small subunit ribosomal RNA", at positions 71 to 753 of the family's 1533-position model. Lineage: Bacteria; Bacillati; Bacillota; Bacilli; Caryophanales; Bacillaceae. The record is from RNAcentral.
AUUAAGAGCUUGCUCUUAUGAAGUUAGCGGCGGACGGGUGAGUAACACGUGGGUAACCUGCCCAUAAGACUGGGAUAACUCCGGGAAACCGGGGCUAAUACCGGAUAAUAUUUUGAACUGCAUGGUUCGAAAUUGAAAGGCGGCUUCGGCUGUCACUUAUGGAUGGACCCGCGUCGCAUUAGCUAGUUGGUGAGGUAACGGCUCACCAAGGCAACGAUGCGUAGCCGACCUGAGAGGGUGAUCGGCCACACUGGGACUGAGACACGGCCCAGACUCCUACGGGAGGCAGCAGUAGGGAAUCUUCCGCAAUGGACGAAAGUCUGACGGAGCAACGCCGCGUGAGUGAUGAAGGCUUUCGGGUCGUAAAACUCUGUUGUUAGGGAAGAACAAGUGCUAGUUGAAUAAGCUGGCACCUUGACGGUACCUAACCAGAAAGCCACGGCUAACUACGUGCCAGCAGCCGCGGUAAUACGUAGGUGGCAAGCGUUAUCCGGAAUUAUUGGGCGUAAAGCGCGCGCAGGUGGUUUCUUAAGUCUGAUGUGAAAGCCCACGGCUCAACCGUGGAGGGUCAUUGGAAACUGGGAGACUUGAGUGCAGAAGAGGAAAGUGGAAUUCCAUGUGUAGCGGUGAAAUGCGUAGAGAUAUGGAGGAACACCAGUGGCGAAGGCGACUUUCUGGUCUGUAACUGACACUGAGGCG